UUUACAAUAAACAGUGAUGGCUUUCAUAAGCAAAACACAAUUAUUGACGAGUUUUUAUCAUUAAUUCCAGGGAAAUCUUCAAACUCGUCGAAUAUACGAACAAAAUCUAAGACAAAAAUUUGGGCAACUUUUUUAACAGGUAUAUCCGAAUGACCGUUAGAAAAAAAAAUGGAAACAUCAAGAUCAAGAUAAUCAACUGUACAAAUAUUCUACCUAAUAUAACUGCGUUGUGAGGUGUAAAUUAUCUUUGUUGAAACAGUUGACCUAACAUAAGUGUUCACGUAAAACAAUCACAUGCACAAGCAAUUUCGAAUAAAAAAACGUUUUUAUAUGGUGAGGAAAGUCUUUAAAAAAAAAUCGAAACUAGUGACAAAAUUUACAAACAAUGGAUCAGCGCUUUAAUUAAAGGUGUUUCCAAUCAACAUUAAAAUGUUAACUUGAUAUUUCAGACAAUAAGUUGUAAACAUAUUCGAGCAAAUAUAACUUUAUUCUUAGUUAGUGAUUAGUUUUGCAAUAAAUCUCAAUGAAAAUAAUAAAUAGUAUACUUUUUUCUAUUAUAAAUUGAUUCUUGCUUAGGCAAUAUACAAUUAUUGACCAUUUUGUAUUAUUAAUUCCAAUAGACUCUUUAAACUCGUCGAAUAUACUCACAAAAUUUGACGCAGAAAUUGUUGUCCGACUUUUUUAACAGAUGCUUCCGAUUUACCAUUAGUUUUUAUGGAAACAUAAAGAUCAAGACAAACAACUGUACACAUAUUCUACCUUAUAUACCAGCAUUUAGACUCUUCAAACUCGUCGAAUAUACUCACAAAAUUUGACGCAGAAAUUGUUGUCCGACUUUUUUAACAGAGGCUUCCGAGUUACCAUUAGUUUUUAUGGAAACAUAAAGAUCAAGACAAACAACUGUACACAUAUUCUACCUUAUAUACCAGCAUUUAGACUCUUCCAACUCGUCGAAUAUACUCACACACUUUGAGGCAGAAAUUGUUGUCCGACUUUUUUAAAAGAUGCUUCCGAGUUACCAUUAUAUUUUUUGCAAACAUAAAGAUCAAGACAAACAACUGUAGACAUAUUCUACCUUAUAUACCAGCAUUUAGACUCUUCAAACUCGUCGAAUAUACUCACAAAAUUUGACGCAGAAAUUGUUGUCCGACUUUUUUAACAGAGGCUUCCGAGUUACCAUUAGUUUUUAUGGAAACAUAAAGAUCAAGACAAACAACUGUACACAUAUUCUACCUUAUAUACCAGCAUUUAGACUCUUCAAACUCGUCGAAUAUACUCACAACAUUUGACGCAGAAAUUGUUUUCCGACUUUUUUAAAAGAUGCUUCCGAGUUACCAUUAGAUUUUAUGCAAACUUAAAGAUCAAGACAAACAACUGUACACAUAUUCUACCUUAUAUACCAGCAUUUAGACUCUUCAAACUCGUCGAAUAUACUCACAAAAUUUGACGCAGAAAUUGUUGUCCGACUUUUUUAACAGAUGCUUCCGAUUUACCAUUAGUUUUUAUGGAAACAUAAAGAUCAAGACAAACAACUGUACACAUAUUCUACCUUAUAUACCAGCAUUUAGACUCUUCAAACUCGUCGAAUAUACUCACAAAAUUUGACGCAGAAAUUGUUGUCCGACUUUUUUAACAGAGGCUUCCGAGUUACCAUUAGUUUUUAUGGAAACAUAAAGAUCAAGACAAACAACUGUACACAUAUUCUACCUUAUAUACCAGCAUUUAGACUCUUCCAACUCGUCGAAUAUACUCACACACUUUGAGGCAGAAAUUGUUGUCCGACUUUUUUAAAAGAUGCUUCCGAGUUACCAUUAGAUUUUUUGCAAACAUAAAUAUCAAGACAAACAACUGUAGACAUAUUCUACCUUAUAUACCAGCAUUAAGGUAACACAGAUAACAAAACAGUCAAUCCACCCCAUGGUCUUCUACAUCUACAUGAUAUAUUUAUACAUACACAAAGAUAAACAAAACAAAAUGCUAUUACACUACAUGUGUACAAGAUCACAUACAUAGUACAGAUAGACCAAUACUACUGACAUGAAAAAAUAGACUCUUCAAACUCGUGGAAUAUACUCACAAAAUUUGACGCAGAAAUUGUUGUUCGACUUUUUUAAAAGAUGCUUCCGAUUUACCAUUAGAUUUUAUGCAAACAUAAAGAUCAAGACAAACAACUGUACACAUAUUCUACCUUAUAUACCAGCAUUUAGACUCUUCAAACUCGUCGAAUAUACUCAUAAAAUUUGACGCAGAAGUUGUUGUCCGACUUUUUUAAAAGAAGCUUCCGAGUUACCAUUAGAUUGUAUGUAAACAUAAAGAUCUAGACAAACAACUGUACACAUAUUCUGCCUUAUAUACCAGCAUUGAAAAUCUUCAAACUCGUCGAAUAUACGAACAAAAUCAGAGACAAUAAUUUCGGCGACUUUUUAAACAGGUGUAUGGUGCAAAGGUGUAACGUGCAUGGUGUAAUGGCACAGGGUGUAUGGUGUAAUGGUGUAUGGUGAAUGGUGUAAUGGCACAGGGUGUAUGGUGUAAUGGUGUAUGGUGAAUGGUGUAAUGGUGUAUGGUGUUAGUGGGAAGUUUACACCAUCCAAGGACUGUAUUCUACCUUAUAUACCUGCAUUAUGAGUUUUGAUUUAUUUUUGUUGAAAAUAUUGACGGAAAAUUAGUGGUCACAUAAAACAAAUCACAUGCAAAAGCAAUUUCGAAUACAAACAAAUUUUUCUAUUACGAGAAAGUCUCAAUAAACGUCGAAAAUAUUGGCAAAAUUUGAUGAAAAAUUUAUCAGCGCUUCUAGCAAAAUGUUUUGCCAAUGUAAAUCAGAACUGUAAACUUUAAGAUUUAGACAAUAAUUUGUAAACACAUUCGAGCUAAUAUAACGAAAUUCUUAGUUGUUGAUUUUUUCAUAACAAAUCUUAAUGAAAAAAUAUAAAGUAUACAAUUUUGACAAUAAAUAGUGAUGGCCUGCAUAAAAGCAAAGCACAAGUAUAGAUGAGUUUUUAUCCUUAAUUUCAGAAAAAUCUUCAAACUCGUCGAAUAUACAAACAAAACCAGAGACAAAAAUUUCGGCGACUUUUUUUAACAGGUAUAUGCGAAUGACCGUUAGGAAAAAUGGAAACAUCAAGAUCAAGAUAAUCAACUGUACAAAUAUUCUACGUUAUAUAACUGCGUUUCGAGGUGUAAAUUAUCUUUGUUGACAAUAUUGACCUAAAAUGAGUGGUCACGUAAAACAAUCACAUGCAUAAUCAAUUUCGAAUAAAAGAACGUUUUUCUAUGGCGAGGAAAGUCUAAAAAAAAUCGAAACUAAUGACAAAAUUUACAAACAAUGGAUCAGCGCUUUUAUGAAAAGGUAUUUCCAAUGAACAUUAAAAUGUUAACUUGAUAUUUCAGACAAUAAAUUGCAAACAUAUUCGGGCAAAUAUAACUGCAUUCUUAGUUAGUGAUUUUUUUUGCAAUAAAUUUCAAUGAAAAUAAUAUAUAGUAUACUUUUUUCUAUUAUAAAUUGAUACUUGGUUGAGCAAUAUACAAUUAUUGACCAUUUUUUAUUAAUAAUUCCAGUAAACUCUUCAAACUCGUCGAAUAUACUCACAAAAUUUGACGCAGAAAUUGUUGUCCGACUUUUUCAACAGAUGCUUCCAAGUUAUCGUUAGAUUAUAUGUCAACAUAAAGAUCAAGACAAACAACUGUACACAUAUUCUACCUUAUAUACCAGCAUUCACAAGUCAGGAUAAGGUAUAGUUUUGACAUGGAUUGAGUGCCACUCUAUUUGAACUUAAGACAGAGUAACUAUUAAUGCUUGAAAUUGCAGAAUUUAACAUAGAAAGCAAUGGGGUUUUAUAAAUAUUACUGAACAGCAUGUGAAAUUCAAAUUUUAGAAAAGCAUACUCCAUUACAUGACAAUCUAGCUGGGAGAUGCAUAAAUUGCCCUUGUUGAUCGAUGUUUUAUAUAAAGUAUGAUUUUUACCAAAACACACUCAUUUUCCAAUAUGCAGAAAAAUGUGCGGACAAAAUUCUCAAUUAUAAUUUAUGUUUAGACCGCUAUAUUUAUAUUUAAUGAACAAUCUUUGUUACAAAUAAGGCAUAUAGGAAAGAACAUCGUUAUUUGAGUAGAUAUUAACAAAUAAGAACCGGCAAAUGUUGGAAAAGUUUCAUAUUGAUCACUAUUAUUUUCCAUAUGGAGUUUCCUUUGUAUAACUCGUAUGUUACUACCAGUCUAACUUGAGCUUAAAUUCAGUGUUAUAGUGUUUCGACAAAAGCUUUAUGUGUUUUUCUAUGCUAGAAAUUGUUAAUAGAAGGAAAUUAAGUAAAGCAGAAAUCAAUAUAGCAAGUUUUGUGCUGUUGUAGGUAUAGAACCAUCAAUUCGGUCCCGGUCAGAAAGGACAUACAAGAAAGUAGUACAAUUUUAAACAAAAUAGUUCCUACGCACAGCUGUAACUUUAUCAACAAGUUAAAUCAUUGGGUAAUUGUGUUAUCAAAUGAAAGCUUAGGGACUUGGUAUCAACGUACAACCCUUGUUGAAACUUUCUUUUGAUUAAUAAAAAAAAUGUAUAAAAUUUCAAAAGGAAGGCAUAAUUGCCCUGUUGUUCAGAUCAGAAGUACCUGUUUUCUGCCUUUUGGUUGGGUUGUUGUCUCUUUGACACAUCCCCAAUUUCUUUUCUCAAUUUUAUACUAUGGUAUAACAGUAUCAAAUCUAUGGAUUAAGUAUGAUAGCAUUUUCAUUAAUUUAAUGAUAGUAGUAAUAGUAGUGCAAGAACAUAUAUGUACAUGCAUAUCAUAUAGCAGUAUACAUAUACUUUCAAAUAUACAUAUACACAUAAGAUAUACACAUAUGUUUAUGGAUUUACACCAUUAAAAUUUAAUCAGUGACCUUAGCCCAGGGGUUCCAAUACAAGUUGUGUUCUUCAACACUCAAAUAUUUUGAGGAAAUGUGUUUUUCUAAGAUCAAGUUUUCUUUAAUGUAAUUUUGAUGUCCUUUUAUAUGAGGUUUUACAUCUUGCAUCUUAGAUCUGUAAAUGAAGUACUUGGUCAGUAAAAUUACUUUGUUUUUGAUAAAAUUCAAUUGAUAAUUUUCAUAGAGGCCAAGAAUGACAACAUCCAUAUUCAGUGGUAUUUCGAUAUGCACUAUAACGAAAAUCCAAGAAUUCAGAUUUUGCCAACUGUCGGCUACAAUAUGACAACCCCAAAGUAAAUGUUCUAUAGAUUCUGGCUCUUCCUUGCAAAAUGUACAUAAAUUACAGUUUACAAGGUUCAUUUUCAAGAGUAGAGCGUUUGUACCCAAAAUAUAAUGAAUAAUUCUAUAUUGAAACCAACAUGACUUCGUGUUUUUUGAAACCUUGGUAACACAAAAGUGUAUUUUUUCCAAUUAUCUACAACCUUAUUGAGAAUACCGUCCAAUUUUUUUUUUCUACUUCAAAAUCUAGAGGUAUAGUACCUUGGUUUGAAAUAGUAUACAUGUCCUUUGAACCCUUUUCUGACUUGUAGAAAAUAUUAUUAUUAAUAGGUAUAAUUGCUAAGCCUUGUUGUUUUUUCUCUCUUUCAGUGUUGAUUCCAAUGGCUUGUAACCACUUUUUUUGUGCUAGUUUAAGCCCAUAAAACUGUAGAAACAUGGGUUUGAAAUUAUCGAUUCUUUCAAAAUUUGUAUAUGUUACUAUAUUUCCAUGUUUAUCUAACAGGUCAUUUACAGUCCAUACUCCAUGAUGUGCCCAAAUUUAUAGUAAACGCUAACAUUAUCAAUUUUAAUAUGCUCAUUAUUUCAUAUAGAUGCCGAAAUGACUUCCCCAAAAUGACAAGGACGUCUGAGUGUUGACAUAUUUUCCAGGCAUUAAAAGCUUCAUCCCAAAAUUAGUUUUUUGAUAUUUUAAUGAUUCCAAAAUAAGCCAACUCUGUAAUAUUUAUAUUUUGUGUGGAGGUUAAUAAUUGUAUCCAUUUAGAUUUUGACUGUAAUAAUUUUCUAACCCAAGUAAGUUUUAACCCUUGUAUAAAAUUUCUCAAAUUUCUCAUUUUUAGGUCCCCUCUAUAGUAUUCUUGACAUAGAAGAUCCCGCUUUAUCUUGCCAGUCUUAUCAUCUCAAAUGAAUGAAUAAAUUUUACUAUUAAGUUGACGUAUAAUAUUAUAAUCUGGACCUGGGAUGGACAGGAACAGAUGAUUAAAUUUUGAUAUAA
Long non-coding RNA from Mytilus californianus (California mussel), 6158 nucleotides. RefSeq lists it as uncharacterized. NCBI's taxonomy places the organism in Eukaryota, Metazoa, Mollusca, Bivalvia, Mytilida, Mytilidae. The transcript is spliced from 14 exons. The record is from RefSeq and is a predicted model, not a curated record.